UUCUCCCAAGUUAUCGAGGCCUCUACGA
RNAcentral lists this small RNA (28 nucleotides) under Bombyx mori (domestic silkworm). RNAcentral describes it as "piRNA piR-bmo-1338815". Lineage: Eukaryota; Metazoa; Arthropoda; Insecta; Lepidoptera; Bombycidae. The record is from RNAcentral.